RNAcentral lists this long non-coding RNA (338 nucleotides) under Parus major (Great Tit). RNAcentral describes it as "lncRNA (ENSPMJG00000003326.1)". The record is from RNAcentral. Lineage: Eukaryota; Metazoa; Chordata; Aves; Passeriformes; Paridae.
UGAAUGACAAGAUGUGCCUGAUGAAGUAGUGUUCUGAAUUUUGCACUGGAAUUUUACUGGCACACACUGCUUGGGGUGCUUGUUCAGCUGCUUGUUCCAGCCUGUAGAAGAGCCUGAACACAAAUUGGCAGAAUCUAUGCAGCAAGGCUCUGAAAAUCAUCUCCAGUGAUCCAGAAAGCCUCGUAGCAAGCAGAAGAAGUCCUGCUCCUUGUCACUGUGAUUAUGGAGAUGCAGGAAGCAGCAUUUGUUCAUCUUUCAUGCCAGACUUUCAAACUCUGCAAUGUGACUGACUGAUGCAGUAAGUGCAGUUAAUUUUAAUUCUGAUUUUUAGGACUGGA